UAGGGGAAUCUUCCACAAUGGGCGGAAAGCCUGAUGGAGCAACGCCGCGUGUGUGAUGAAGGGUUUCGGCUCGUAAACACUGUUGUAAGAGAAGAAUGACAUUGAGAGUAACUGUUCAAUGUGUGACGGUAUCUUACCAGAAAGGAACGGCUAAAUACGCGCCAG
Molecule: ribosomal RNA, 165 nt
Filed under: uncultured bacterium
Lineage: Bacteria
Description: partial 16S ribosomal RNA
Rfam family: Bacterial small subunit ribosomal RNA
Source: RNAcentral